CCCGAGAGCCCGCCUACACGUGGUGACGUCAGAGUAGCCGGAAUUGCCAGAGUUUUCUGUCGUCACUGAGAGGCAGUCUUUGAAGAAAGAUGUCAGCUGGAAGGAUGGACACCAGCUGGAUACCAGCCUUGCCAAGGAAGACGUCACUUCCAGAGUUUGCACACACCAACCGAGGCUUCACCCUCCUUUCACUGAAGCAAGAGGAAUUUGUCACCAGAUGCAGCAGUAAGGAUCUACACAAUCUGAAGAUUUCUACUCUGAGAUGGGUCAGCGUACCCCGGCAAGCAGUGGAUGGAAGGAAGGGAAACACCGUGAACAGGGAGGGAUUAACUCGGGGGAGAAGAUUCAGAUCAUAACUCACCUCAGCCGAACCCCAUUCAAUCACCGUUUUUCCAG
Eleginops maclovinus (Patagonian blennie) is the source of this 396-nucleotide long non-coding RNA. RefSeq lists it as uncharacterized. The transcript is spliced from 5 exons. NCBI's taxonomy places the organism in Eukaryota, Metazoa, Chordata, Actinopteri, Perciformes, Eleginopidae. The record is from RefSeq and is a predicted model, not a curated record.